Molecule: ribosomal RNA, 803 nt
Filed under: uncultured bacterium
Lineage: Bacteria
Description: bacterial SSU rRNA
Rfam family: Bacterial small subunit ribosomal RNA
Source: RNAcentral
GAAUUCGCCCUUAGAGUUUGAUCCUGGCUCAGGACGAACGCUGGCGGCGCGCCUAACACAUGCAAGUCGAACGGAGCUUAGAGAGCUUGCUUUUUAAGCUUAGUGGCGAACGGGUGAGUAACGCGUGAGUAACCUGCCCUAGAGUGGGGGACAACAGUUGGAAACGACUGCUAAUACCGCAUAAGCCCACGGUGCCGCAUGACACUGAGGGAAAAGGAUUUAUUCGCUUUAGGAUGGACUCGCGUCCAAUUAGCUAGUUGGUGAGGUAACGGCCCACCAAGGCGACGAUUGGUAGCCGGACUGAGAGGUUGAACGGCCACAUUGGGACUGAGACACGGCCCAGACUCCUACGGGAGGCAGCAGUGGGGGAUAUUGCACAAUGGGGGAAACCCUGAUGCAGCGACGCCGCGUGGAGGAAGAAGGUUUUCGGAUUGUAAACUCCUGUCGUUAGGGACGAUAAUGACGGUACCUAACAAGAAAGCACCGGCUAACUACGUGCCAGCAGCCGCGGUAAAACGUAGGGUGCAAGCGUUGUCCGGAAUUACUGGGUGUAAAGGGAGCGCAGGCGGGAAGACAAGUUGGAAGUGAAAACCAUGGGCUCAACCCAUGAAUUGCUUUCAAAACUGUUUUUCUUGAGUAGUGCAGAGGUAGAUGGAAUUCCCGGUGUAGCGGUGGAAUGCGUAGAUAUCGGGAGGAACACCAGUGGCGAAGGCGGUCUACUGGGCACCAACUGACGCUGAGGCUCGAAAGCAUGGGUAGCAAACAGGAUUAGAUACCCUGGUAGUCCAUGCCGUAAACGAUGA